Molecule: ribosomal RNA, 497 nt
Filed under: uncultured bacterium
Lineage: Bacteria
Description: partial 16S ribosomal RNA
Rfam family: Bacterial small subunit ribosomal RNA
Source: RNAcentral
GAUGAACGCUGGCGGCGUGCCUAAUACAUGCAAGUCGAGCGAACAGACGAGGAGCUUGCUCCUCUGACGUUAGCGGCGGACGGGUGAGUAACACGUGGAUAACUUACCUAUAAGACUGGGAUAACUUCGGGAAACCGGAGCUAAUACCGGAUAAUAUAUUGAACCGCAUGGUUCAAUAGUGAAAGACGGUUUUGCUGUCUCUUAUAGAUGGAUCCGCGCCGCAUUAGCUAGUUGGUAAGGUAACGGCUUACCAAGGCAACGAUGCGUAGCCGACCUGAGAGGGUGAUCGGCCACACUGGAACUGAGACACGGUCCAGACUCCUACGGGAGGCAGCAGUAGGGAAUCUUCCGCAAUGGGCGAAAGCCUGACGGAGCAACGCCGCGUGAGUGAUGAAGGUCUUCGGAUCGUAAAACUCUGUUAUUAGGGAAGAACAAAUGUGUAAGUAACUAUGCACGUCUUGACGGUACCUAAUCAGAAAGCCACGGCUAACUACGUG